This 253-nucleotide ribosomal RNA is filed under the name uncultured bacterium. Its description in RNAcentral is "partial 16S ribosomal RNA". It matches the Rfam family "Bacterial small subunit ribosomal RNA", at positions 524 to 776 of the family's 1533-position model. The record is from RNAcentral.
GACGAAGGGGGCUAGCGUUGUUCGGAAUUACUGGGCGUAAAGCGCGUGUAGGCGGUUGCCAAAGUCGGGUGGGAAAGCCUUGAGCUCAACUCAAGAAAUGCACUCGAUACUUGGUGACUAGAGGACCGGAGAGGAUAGUGGAAUUCCCAGUGUAGUGGUGAAAUACGUAGAGAUUGGGAAGAACACCAGUGGCGAAGGCGGCUAUCUGGACGGUUUCUGACGCUAAGACGCGAAAGCGUGGGGAGCAAACAGG